RNAcentral lists this transfer RNA (70 nucleotides) under Fasciola hepatica (liver fluke). It matches the Rfam family "tRNA". From Rfam's summary of the family: Transfer RNA (tRNA) molecules are approximately 80 nucleotides in length. Their secondary structure includes four short double-helical elements and three loops (D, anti-codon, and T loops). The record is from Rfam by way of RNAcentral. Lineage: Eukaryota; Metazoa; Platyhelminthes; Trematoda; Plagiorchiida; Fasciolidae.
GGCCUCGUAGUUCAGCUGGUACUAAAGCGAGGGUGGUGACCGUGCGUGGGUUCGAAUCCCGCCGAGGCCA